AGAGUGCGUAACAGCUCACUGGUCAAGUGAUUCUGCGCCGAUAAUGUAGCGGGGCUCAAGUACACCGCCGAAGUUGUGGCAUGACACCGUAUAGCUGAGCCGUUAGUGGUUGAGGUGGUGUUGUGGGUAGGGGAGCGUCGUUGGGGUAGUGAAGCUGCGGGGUGACCCAGUGGUGGAACCUCAACGAGUGAGAAUGCAGGCAUGAGU
This 207-nucleotide ribosomal RNA is filed under the name Anophryoides haemophila. RNAcentral's name for it is "partial Bacterial large subunit ribosomal RNA". It matches the Rfam family "Bacterial large subunit ribosomal RNA", at positions 1127 to 1307 of the family's 2925-position model. The record is from RNAcentral. Lineage: Eukaryota; Ciliophora; Oligohymenophorea; Philasterida; Glauconematidae.